Molecule: ribosomal RNA, 292 nt
Filed under: uncultured bacterium
Lineage: Bacteria
Description: partial 16S ribosomal RNA
Rfam family: Bacterial small subunit ribosomal RNA
Source: RNAcentral
GUGUCAGCCGCCGCGGUAAUACAGAGGGGGCAAGCGUUAUUCGGAAUUAUUGGGCGUAAAGGGCGCGUAGGCGGUGUCUUAAGUGAGAUGUGUAAUCCCCGAGCUUAACUUGGGAACUGCAUCUCAGACUGGGGCGCUAGAGUACUGGAGAGGGUGGUAGAAUUCCACGUGUAGCGGUGAAAUGCGUAGAGAUGUGGAGGAAUACCAGUGGCGAAGGCGGCCACCUGGACAGUAACUGACGCUGAGGCGCGAAAGUGUGGGGAGCAAACAGGAUUAGAAACCCGUGUAGUCC